GAAGUGAAAGCAGGAGCGUUUAGUUUAAAACGGCCCGAUAAUGAGAUGUUGUAGCGUCCUGGUGGAGUUUAGAGCAGCAGUGAGGAUCAUUUCAGUUCUGAUUUAUAGACUAAAUCCAGUGUUUCAGAUGACCAGCUUGGUGAAACAACUCAAGGUAAGUACUGUGCUUUAUUCCUGUUUACAUGUUCAUGUGUCAUAUUCAGUCUGUGUCACAUGGGAAGAAAAAGACAGAAUUGGGUUUAAUGUAGCCUAAAUGCGGCCUUUAUGUCAAGACAAUUUUUUAUAUAACUCUGACUGGAUUUGUCUGAAAGAAGGAGGUCAUAUACACCUUGGAUGACUCGAGGGUGAGUAAAACACAGUCCAAUUAAAAUUUUUGAGAGAACUAACCCUUUAACUUGCACUGUUUCACUGUUUGUAUCACUCAGCUUGCAGUAAUUCUCACAGCAAGUGUCAUGGCGGAUACCUAAAUCCACUAAAAUUUCUAAAAUAAUACUGAUUUUUUAGGCGAGAAUUAAAAAAAAAAAAGAACUGCAAUAAAAAUGCAUACAAACUAUUUACUAACGCAGUUCUCAACUGGUUUGGCCAUGGGACCCAUCAAGUCGCAAGACACUGAGUUAGUCGCGGAGUGUACAGUCAAAGAAACAACAUCAGCACAAAAAAAGAUUGUACAAUUCCAAAUUGAAUUCUAUAUGUGGUGCAUAAACCCAGAUGUCACAAACACAUUCAGGUGGAAUCAAAGGACAGAGGUGACUUUCUCUAUUUCCCCACAGUUUCUUUAAUCUCCUCCUCCCUGCCCUUCUGCUCAAGGUGAAUAUAUAAAGCUUGUGCAUGUCAAAUGUUGUUGGGAUAAAAUAACUCUGAGCGUGUGGCACAGCGUAGCGAGUUGUGUUGGUUGCGAACGGAGGAAGAGUGGGCUGUCAGCAGUGGUUUGGGCCGUCUGAUGAAGCAGGUCUGUAAUGAGCUGAUGAAGGCUACAUAUACAGCUCGGCACCACUCCGCAAAUUCUAAAGGUGAUGAGGGCUGGCAUCCUCACCCGUGAUGAGAACUCCCUGCUGCUUUGCACUUUGAUGUGUUUGUAUGUGCGGUGAAGAGAAGGAGCGCAUUUGUGAAUUUGUUUGUUUUGUUUAGUCUAGAGGGUUUACACUAAUAGAAUGAAUGUUGUUUUAAGCUACUCACACUGUUGCUAGCACCUGGUGCACACUAGAACAAUGCAUUGGGCAAUAGUCACAUCACUCCAGCUUUAUCCUGUGAUGAGGCAUGCUUUUUGAACAAAGGAAAACAACUACAGACAAAUGUAAAGAACUUUGCUUUGCAAAUAUUCUUUGCUGCAGUAUUUUAAGGCAGCUAACUUUCUGCAAUAAAAAUAAUAAACAUUUAAUGACACUAUUUUAUUUUUUUUUAUUCGUUGAUGCGUGCUUACAUGAACUGUCUAUG
Long non-coding RNA from Cyprinus carpio carpio, 1434 nucleotides. The record is from Ensembl. NCBI's taxonomy places the organism in Eukaryota, Metazoa, Chordata, Actinopteri, Cypriniformes, Cyprinidae.